CUCCACGCCGCCAGCUCUGACAACCCGAUCGAUCUGUGGUGCGCGAGCGAUCGAUGAUGGCGGCAGAGACGGCGGAGGAGUGGAGGCUGGCGUGUGAGUCCGAGUGCCGUUUGCGCAAUUGCGAGUGCCGCUGGUGUCGUCUCUGCUCCCCCCGGAUCCCCCGCGUCGCCCACGGGAGGGACUACUCCUCCAUCCCUGCCGGCAUCGACCAUCGGCCCGCCUGGUCGCUGCUCGUCGGCCUCAGGGACGGCGCCGUCCUCCGGCUCAAACGCCUCGGCCUGGCGCGGUCCGGGCGGAUCCUCGGCCGGAGCGACGACGCACUCGAGGCUUUCCAGGAGGCCCUGCCGAGGUGCGGUUGCUGGUGAGACAUCUCUCCCGGUGGUAAAAUCCCGUGACCCAGACCAGUUGGUGCACUAGCGGCGGCACGGUGCUCCGGCGGUGGAAGGGAUUUGAGAUCGGGCGAGGGUUACAAGGCUGGUCCUUGGAGUAAAAUUCCAGAGCUACAUCUCAGAUCCAGAUGGUGAAGUCGAAGGGGGAAGACAAGGCCGAUGCGGCAGAGGUAGCAUCCCUCAAGCUGGACGUCGACCAGCUGGAUGAGAAAGUGGAAGCCAUCCACUCUGAAGUGGAGGGGAUUCACACUGAGGUCACCGGGAUCAAGAAUCAGCUGACAAGACUUGAAGAACUGCUGCUCAAGCUUGAUGCGAAAGGAAAGGAGAAGGAGAAGGAACAGGAGCACAGGGAGCUAGAGCGCCAACAGCAACCACUCCCUCCCCAACCUCCACCUCCACCUCUCCAUCAACAGCAACCAACUCCUCCCCAACCUUAACAGCAACAGCAACCCAACGCGCCACCAACCAGAACAUCUCCCCUCCUGGACAGAGGAGUUCCAAUCUGGCGACGCAUGGGGAAUGAAUUCUCACAACCAACACCCCAGUACGCUGAACUAGACGGUCUGAAUAUGCAGUUCAGUCAGUGGAAAGAGAAUUUCGACGCUGCACCAAACCAAAAUCCACUUCCAUACUAUGGCGAGUAGCACCCCAUGUUUGCAUAUCAACCACCCCAGCCACCUCCACCUCCCCAUUACUACCACCCACUAGAACAAUCCCAUGACCAAUAUCUACACCACACACAAUACUUACCCUAGCAACAGUAUCCUCCCCAAUUUCAGUACCCUACCCCGCAAAUUCCCAUCCCACAAUAUGCCCAGCAAGAACACCCACCACCAUCACAAAGGGGAGUUCCUCACAUACAGGGCCCUCCUGCCUAUCAAACUCCGAGACAAACCAGAGGUUUUGACCAAUAUAGAAGCCAAGACAGAGAUUGCCAGUUCUACAAAUCCAUUGCUAAAGCACCAAAAUUUGAGUUCCCUCGGUUUGAUGGAGACAAUCCUAUGGAAUGGAUAAGGACUACAGAGAAGUUCUUCUCCAUGGUGUAUGUGCCCGAGGAGGCCAAGGGGGACGAUGCCCAAAUGUACCUAAUAGGAAGAGCUGAUGUAUGGCUUAGAAACUCUGGCAUUUUGGAACAAAACCUGACAUGGGAACAAUUCUGCCAGGUAGUACUCAAAAGAUUCUCGGGGGACAGGUCUUAUGAGGUAGUUGAGAAUUUCAACUCCAUCAAACAGGGCACCAACUCUGUUUCUGAUUACACCGACAGAUUUGAAGAGAAAAUGUCUUCUUACAAAAGAGAAAACCCAGGUGUCUCUGAAAGCAACUACAUCAAAUGUUACAUAAAUGGUCUGAAACCUAAGAUCAAACAUUACCUGAAACCAUUCAAGCCACAGACCCUGUAUGAUGCAGUUGACACAGCUCGAGAUAUGGAACUAGGAACUCAAGCUCAGACCACUCAGAAGAAAUUUCCCUCCUACACCAACUACCAGAAAAGCAAUAGUCCUGCACCCACAACAAACAUGCCUAGAUGGAAUGAUGGCAGUGCUCCUAAAAGAGAAGGUGACCCCAAAACCACAGCCAAACCUGAAGUUAGGUACAGGGAACCUGGAAUUUGCAGAUACUGUGGCAGCAAAUGGUUUUUUGGCCACAAGUGUGCCCAAUACAAAACCCUCAAUUUAAUGGCCACGGAAGAAACUCCAGAGGAAAAUCAAGAGGACCUGCUACAGGAAACUGAACAACCUGACGAUCACACAGCUCCUGUUACAAGUCCCACUGAGGAGGAGCAAUGCAUGCAAAUUUCCUCCCAAGCAGUGGGCAAGAAGACCACUGCCAAGUCCUUCUCAUUACAAGUUCAAAUCGGUGGGAAGUGUGGAAUAGCACUAGUUGAUUCUGGAAGCUCACACACAUUCAUUGACAUGAAGUUCACUGUCAAGACCACCUGUCACACUGUCCCAACCCCUAUGGAAACUGUCCUUGUUGCGGGAGGGGGAACACUACAGUCGGGAUCCCAGGUAGUAGAAACACAAUACACCAUCCAAGGACACAAGUUCAAGAACUCCUUUAAAGUGUUACCACUGAAGGGAUAUGACAUUAUUCUGGCAUGCGAUUGGUUGGAAAAACAUAGCCCAAUUACAAUGGACUUUAUCACCAGAAAAAUGCAGGUCGUUUUAGACGGCAAAACCAAAGUCACUCUCAGAGAUAACAACAGGAAGGGCACGGUCCCUCUCAUCUCAGUACAUCUGGAGAAACUUGCUUCCACUUAUGUAGCUGGCUACUGCCUUUUCCCCUUGUCCAAAACCACCGAAAAGCAAGAACAACAUGCACUGAAGUGGAAGAAUUACUGCAGGAGUACAAGGAUGUUUUCCAAGAAACCAAAGGAAUGCCACCUAUCAGAGAGUGUGACCACUCCAUUCCCUUGAAGAAUAACUCUGAGCCCCCUAUGGUUAGACCUUAUCGAGUCCCCCACAAGCAAAAGAAUGAAAUGGAGCAACAAGUGCAAGAGUUGUUAGAUGCUUCCAUCAUUAGGCCUAGCACUAGCCCAUAUGCUGCUCCUACCAUUCUGGUUAGGAAAAAGGAUGGUACUUGGAGGUUGUGCAUCGAUUACAGGAAGUUGAAUGCCCAAACUGUCAAGAACAAGUUCCCCAUCCCAGUUAUCGAGGAUCUCUUUGAUGAGCUGCAAGGAGCACAAUACUUCACAAAGAUUGACCUCAGGGCAGGAUAUCAUGAAGUGAGAAUGAAUACAGCUGAUAUCCACAAGACUGUGAUCAGAACAUACUUCGGCCACUUUGAGUACUUAGUUAUGCCUUUUGGGCUCACUAAUGCACCAGCAACUUUCCAAUCCCUCAUGAACAAAGUAUUUGCCAAGUACCUCAGGAAAUUUAUUCUUGUCUUCUUCGAUGAUAUCUUAGUGUACAGCAAGACGUUGCAACAACACUUGAAACAUCUGAAAAUGGUCCUGGACAUCUUGAGAGCUGAGCAACUCUUUGCCAAAAUGAGCAAAUUCAUAUUUGCUGCCCCCCAGGUGGAGUACUUGGGCCACAUAAUCUCGGGAAAAGGUGUAGAGACUGACCCACAAAAAAUUGAGGAAGUUUCCAAUUGGCCUUUACCUCAAAACAUCACUCAGCUGAGAAGUUUCCUAGGACUCACAGGAUACUAUAGGAGAUUUGUGCAAAACUAUGGAGAAAUAUGUAGACCCCUACAUGCCAUGCUUAAGAAAGAGGCUUUCCACUGGACGCCAAAACAAACCGCAGCUUUCAACCAACUCAAGCACAAGCUAACAUCAGCACCUGUCCUGGCACUACCCAACUUCUCACUCCCCUUCCAGCUGGAAACUGAUGCCAGUGGUACUGUACUUGGGGCUGUUCUGAUGCAGCAAAACAGGCCUAUUGCGUACUUCAGCAAGUCUUUAGGACCCAAAUCUGCUGCCCUCUCCACGUAUGAAAAGGAAGCACUCGCAAUCCUUGAGGCAUUAAAGAAAUGGAGGCACUAUGUUGUUGGCAACGAGCUGCACAUCAAAACUGAUCAAAAGAGCCUGAAAUUCAUAACUGAGCAGAAGGUUUCAGAAGGAAUACAACAUAAAUUACUCCUCAAACUCCUAGAAUUCAACUACAAGAUUGACUAUAAGAAGGGCAACACUAACAAGGCUGCGGAUGCUCUCAGCAGAAAAGGAAGCACACUCAUGGCCACAACCAUCAUAACACCUACCUGGAUUGAAUCAGUUGAAAAGAGCUACGAGCAGGACCCCAAGUGCCAGGAACUCCUGCAGAAACUCCUAAUUGCAGCAGAUGCGGAGAAACACUACACACUGACAGCUGGCGUAUUAAGAUACAAGGGCAGGAUUCUUAUAGGCAAUGAUGAAGAUCUCAAGCACCAGCUCAUCGACUCCCUCCACUCCUCUGCUGUAGGAGGGCACUCUGGAAUUGUUGCCAACUACCAAAGAAUCAAAAGGUUGUUCUAUUGGCCCGGCAUGAAAAAGGAUGUGGAAAAGUUCAUCACUGAAUGCCCGGUUUGCCAAAGAGCUAAAGCAGAGCAUUGUCAAUACCCAGGCCUAUUAGACCCCCUUCCUCUCCGAGACAUGGCGUGGGCACACUUGACCAUGGACUUCAUCGAGGGUCUACCAAAAUCCAGUGGAAAAGAAGUCAUACUCGUAGUGGUGGACAGAUAUACUAAGUACACCCAUUUCAUCUCCCUCCCUCACCCUUACAAUGUGAACAUGGUGGCCCAAGCUUUCAUGGACAAUGUUUUCAAGUUACAUGGCCCGCCAAUCAGCAUUGUGACGGACCGGGACAGAAUCUUCACAAGUAACAUGUGGGAGGGGAUAUUCAAAGCAAUGAAAAUCAAGCUCAGACUCAGCACUGCUUACCAGACUCAGAGUGACGGCCAGACCAAGCGAGUCAACCAAUGUUUGGAAUCGUAUCUCAGAUGCAUGGUUUUCCAAGAGCCCAAGAAAUGGCACUCCUGGCUUCCCCUAGCAGAGUGGUGGUACAAUACCACAUACCACACCGCUACUAAGUUCACUCCAUUUCAGGCUUUGUACAGCUACCCACCUCCCCUGAUCAGUGAAAUAGCCAUUCCUGGUCCUGUGGACACUGAUGCCAGGGACUUCUAGGCUGAAAAACAGCACAUGUUAUCCACUCUGAAGGAAAACUUGGCACAGGCCCAAGGGCGCAUGAAAAAAUAUGCUGACAGGAAGAGACUCGAGAGGCAAUUUGAAGUUGGGGAUAUGGUUUACUUGCGAAUGCAACCCUACAGAAUGGCUGCCUUCAGAAUUCGCCAAGCCAUGAAGCUCACAACAAAGUUCUACGGCCCUUAUCGUAUAUUGGAAAAGAUUGGCCGUGUAGCUUACAAACUCCAACUUCCAACGAAUGUGGGCAUCCAUCCUGUAUUCCACGUGAGCCAGUUGAAAAAGCACCUUGGCUCUCAUGCAAUACCCAGUCCAGAUCUCCCUCUUGUGGGCACAGAUGGCAGGAUCAAAACCGAACCCUUGGCUGUCCUGGAAACCCGAUCGUUGCCCAGGAAUGGGGUUCUGGUCACACAAUGGUCGUCGAGUGGGAGAACCUCAAGCCAGAAGAUGCAACCAACUUGGGAGGAUGCCAACUUCAUGAAGCAAGUUUUCCCAGCCUUCUUCGCAAACACCAUCAAGAGUUGGUUCCCAGAUCGGAAUACUUGAGGACAAGUAUGUUUUUCAGGGGGAAGAAUUGUCAGCACUCUGUUUCCUGCAGCAAUUUCAGAACAUAUCGCUUUGACCAUGUCAUGAAGAUCCAAGGGUGGAGAUCAUCCCUAGAAGAUGGACGGCUAUCAAGGGCUCGAAGCAUUUCACUGGCUGACCAGGCUAUAUAUUUGAGCCCCUGCGUGGGUAACGAUGGGAUUUGUAAACCUAAUUCCAAACCCUAGAUAUCUACCUACCGUAGCAAAUCCCCAAAUUCAUAGACGGGGUCUCCACAUCGGGAGUUUAUCUAUUGCUUGUUUCUGUCGAAUUGGUAGCUAGUUCUGUCGAUCCCCUCCGGGAUCUGACACUGCUCCCCCCGGAUCCCCCGCAUCGCCCCCAGGAGGGACUACUCCUCCAUCCCCGCCAGCGCCGACCAUCGGCCCGCCUGGUCGCUGCUCGUCGGCCUCAGGGACGGCGUCGUCCUACGGCUCAAACGCCUCCGCCUGGCAUGGUCCGGGCGGAUCCUCGGCCGGAGCGAUGACGCACUCGAGGCAUUCCACGACAUCAGGACGCCGACUGGUCGCAGGUUCGACGCCAGCGCCGCCCUGGCUCCCGACGGCCGCUCGCUCUGCGUCCUGCGCCAGGAGGACGACGGUGCCGGCAAGCAACCCCCCAUGCCCUGCACCUAACUCUGCAGCAGCCGCAGACCGACGACACAUCACCCGAGCAUCUUCCUCUGCCGCCGGAGAUUCAAGCAGGGGGGAGUCGUAACUGCAUGCCCAUCUCCGCCGCCGGCAACAUCUGGGCUCUGUGGCCCAUCAUGGAAUAUGGCGUCAAGUCGAGCCUCCUCAUACGACCCCUGCAUCUGCUCCCCGGCGGCGGGGGCCAAUGGGAGCAGGUCGGCCAACACAAACACGACAAGGACGAGUACCGGUGGUUGGCCGGCGGGUUCCUCCAGGGCUACGCUAUGCUCCCCGGCCCCCUCAUCCUCGUCUCCUUGAAACAAGACCGGGCCUUCUUCACCUUCACCCAUGGCUCCGGCGACUGGACCCCGGUGCUCACCGACGAAACAAGGCCGCCGCAAGACUACGUCCCUAUCAUCGGCCGCGCCGUCUACAUGGAGCAAGACAAUGCCAUCUACAUGCUCCGUGGAAACACCAUCUAUGCCUACAAGCUCAGCUACAUACACCAGGACCAGAGUGAUGAUCAGGGGAGGGGGAGGCUCCGGCUGGAUCCGCCCAUCACCAUCGACUCUGGAGUACGAGGACAUGGACUCUCCGGUGCUGCUGCAACACCAACAAGGGCAAGAGAAGGAUCUAAACCAACGUUAACAGCAGGUCGACCAACCCUCCAAGAUGCUUGAUUGUUGCAGACGGUUUCUCAAAAUGGAAGGCUGCCCACGCCUUUGUUUCUCUGCGGCAUGAAUGGUCACGUUGCCCGCGACUGCUCUCACCCGCCACAGGAGCGGAUGCCCCCCUCGGCAUUGCCUCCCUGCACGCUGGUCGGCCGUGCUUCAAUGCAACACCGAGUCCCUUUCUCAAGGCGUCCUCUUGCUACAACAACUAGUAUCAAGAAAGAUCUGUUUAUCAUCUGCCAAGCCGGCUCACAACCGGUCAUCUACCAUACGGGCGUCAUGGAUGAGACUUCACUGUUAGAAGGAGGAGACGACGAUGGCAAGCCUCUCCAACCGUCAUGUUAUGUUGCAGAAGAUGUUGGUGAUGAUGACUAUUGGCACUUUUUCCUAAAUGGUGGCUCAAAAAUACACGCCGUUUCGAGCAAAAAAGAUGGCAUGCUUGAGUUUAGUCUGAACAAGGACCGUACGACAGCUAUGGAUCGUCUAUCUGUACGGCGGCGGCCAAGUGCUGAUGCUUUUGUUUUGGUUCUCACAGUUGGUGGAGAGACCACUGCUCUUACUAAAACCCUGCAAGUUUUUCAUCAGAAAAGGUUCAAUUAUGGAUCAUCCCCCACGUGGUUGGGUUACAAGGCAGAUCAGUCACAUGUUCUCGACAGGAAGGUCAUGAUAUCUGGAUAUGCAGCAGUGAAUGACGAUUCCUUUAUAGUCUCUGAUGCUCUCACAUGUUCCUGUCUUUUGUUUGACCUGGGUGCCAGACAAUGGCGUGUUGUCAUGCCUUGGGCCGCAUUCACGGAAGACCUGCCAAGGAAUAUCCCUAGAAACAGCCCUUUAAUUGGUAGAUGUGUAUUUGUCGAUGGCUUUAUCUACACAUGCAGAGAUGGAGGGCUUGCUGCUUGAUAAAGAUCAUUCUGUGUAUCUCAGCGAGCCCAUCCUUUUGCCAUUCUCAUGGCUUGUAGAUGAUUGUGUCGGUGAGGACAUGUGCUUGGAUUAUGCUGGCAAAGAUAUGGAAUUCUCAACCAAAGUAUGUUCAAGUAAAGCAAGUUAAUCAGUGGUGUUCUUCAUUCUGGGCAAAUGAUUAUGUUUAAUAAGUCAUGUUCUUAUUUCAGGUCAAAUAAAUUUAGUGAUGCUGGCUUUUAAGCCAUUAGCUAGCAACAUUGCAUCGCUAAAUCAACAUUUCAG
Molecule: ribosomal RNA, 8068 nt
Filed under: Triticum aestivum (bread wheat)
Lineage: Eukaryota; Viridiplantae; Streptophyta; Magnoliopsida; Poales; Poaceae
Description: partial small subunit ribosomal RNA
Source: RNAcentral